This 497-nucleotide ribosomal RNA is filed under the name uncultured bacterium. Its description in RNAcentral is "partial 16S ribosomal RNA". It matches the Rfam family "Bacterial small subunit ribosomal RNA", at positions 28 to 507 of the family's 1533-position model. The record is from RNAcentral.
GACGAGCGCUGGCGGCGUGCCUAAUACAUGCAAGUAGAACGCUGAAGAGAGGAGCUUGCUCUUCUUGGAUGAGUUGCGAACGGGUGAGUAACGCGUAGGUAACCUGCCUUGUAGCGGGGGAUAACUAUUGGAAACGAUAGCUAAUACCGCAUAACAAUGGAUGACACAUGUCAUUUAUUUGAAAGGGGCAAUUGUUCCACUACAAGAUGGACCUGCGUUGUAUUAGCUAGUAGGUGAGGUAAUGGCUCACCUAGGCGACGAUACAUAGCCGACCUGAGAGGGUGAUCGGCCACACUGGGACUGAGACACGGCCCAGACUCCUACGGGAGGCAGCAGUAGGGAAUCUUCGGCAAUGGGGGCAACCCUGACCGAGCAACGCCGCGUGAGUGAAGAAGGUUUUCGGAUCGUAAAGCUCUGUUGUAAGUCAAGAACGGGUGUGAGAGUGGAAAGUUCACACUGUGACGGUAGCUUACCAGAAAGGGACGGCUAACUACGUG